GCCCAGGUGGCGGAAUGGUAGACGCGCUCGUUUCAGGUGCGAGUGCCGCAAGGCGUGCAGGUUCGAGUCCUGUUCUGGGC
Molecule: transfer RNA, 80 nt
Filed under: Paramuribaculum sp.
Lineage: Bacteria; Pseudomonadati; Bacteroidota; Bacteroidia; Bacteroidales; Muribaculaceae
Description: tRNA-Leu
Rfam family: tRNA
About the family: Transfer RNA (tRNA) molecules are approximately 80 nucleotides in length. Their secondary structure includes four short double-helical elements and three loops (D, anti-codon, and T loops). Further hydrogen bonds mediate the characteristic L-shaped molecular structure. tRNAs have two regions of fundamental functional importance: the anti-codon, which is responsible for specific mRNA codon recognition, and the 3' end, to which the tRNAs corresponding amino acid is attached (by aminoacyl-tRNA synthetases). tRNAs cope with the degeneracy of the genetic code in two manners: having more than one tRNA (with a specific anti-codon) for a particular amino acid; and 'wobble' base-pairing, i.e. permitting non-standard base-pairing at the 3rd anti-codon position.
Source: RNAcentral